This 731-nucleotide ribosomal RNA is filed under the name uncultured organism. RNAcentral describes it as "SSU rRNA". It matches the Rfam family "Eukaryotic small subunit ribosomal RNA", at positions 384 to 1129 of the family's 1831-position model. The record is from RNAcentral.
CGGAGAGGGCGCAUGAGAACACGGCUACCACAUCCAAGGAAGGCAGCAGGCGCGCAAAUUACCCAAUCCCAACACGGGGAGGUAGUGACAAUAUGUAACAAUAUACGGCCUUAUACGUCGUAUAAUUGGAAUGAGUACAAUUUAAAUCCCUUAACGAGGAACAAUUGGAGGGCAAGUCUGGUGCCAGCAGCCGCGGUAAUUCCAGCUCCAAUAGCGUAUAUUAAAGUUGUUGCAGUUAAAAAGCUCGUAGUUGGACCUUGGACCUGGACAGGCGGUCCGCCUCACGGCGAGUACUGUCUUGCUGGGUCUUUCCUCUUGGUGAUCUGUUGUUUCGGCAGCAGGGAACCAGGACCUUUACUUUGAAAAAAUUAGAGUGUUCAAAGCAGGCUCGACGCCGGAAUAUAUUAGCAUGGAAUAAUAAAAUAGGACGUGCGGUUCUAUUUUGUUGGUUUUUGGAAUCGCCGUAAUGAUUAAUAGGGACAGUCGGGGGCAUUAGUACUCACAUGCUAGAGGUGAAAUUCUUGGAUUUUGUGAAGACUAACUUCUGCGAAAGCAUUUGCCAAGGAUGUUUUCAUUAAUCCAGAACGAAGGUUAGGGUAUCGAAAACGGUUAGAUACCGUUGUACUCUUAACAGUAAACUAUGCCGACUAGGGAUCGGUCGAUGUUAUCUUUUUGACUCGAUCGGCACCUUACUAGAAAUCCAAGUUUUUGGGUUCUGGGGGGAGUAUGGU